Molecule: long non-coding RNA, 6202 nt
Filed under: Citrus maxima (pomelo)
Lineage: Eukaryota; Viridiplantae; Streptophyta; Magnoliopsida; Sapindales; Rutaceae
Description: long non-coding RNA (CMAX_LNC002453)
Source: RNAcentral
UUGCCUUCCACCUAUGCCAACGGUAUCUGCAAUAGGCCUUCAGAUCUUCAACAAGACCAGUAUACUGGAAACUUUUAGCGGACAAUGAAGCUUCCUGGACCAGGUUGUGAAAAAGAGUCGACACAGCUUCACUGUUCCAUCGCCAGUUUUCGAUAACCUGGUUUUGACUAAGUCAACAUCACGUGCUGUGUUGACGAGGUAAUUCGUGAUGAUAACGUAGUCGUUUAUAUACCAGGUACCACAACUUCUCGGGCAACCGAUGCAAACUCCUGAACUUGCCUCUCAAAGAAUCUGCUAAUCUCUCGAUGUCAACAGAUUGAUGAUGCUCGGCAUUGUCCAUCUUCUGUCCCACUUGCUGCGGUUGGUUCGGACAAUAAACAAGACGCUUAAACUAUCUCUAGCUAACACAACAUAAUAAUAAUGAUAAUGUUUCCAAAAUGAUUAAAGAUAUAAAAAUAGAAACUGACUUUGCCCUCUGUCAUGCGCAUACACGGCUAAUAAACAAGAUACAUAUGUCAUCGCUACCUUAGAAUUUCUCUAACAUAGGAGACGAAUUAUAAUUACAUAUAUAAAAUAAUAAAUAAUAAAAAAUAUAUUAUAAUUUUAAUCGUAUAAUUAUGAAAAAAUACUACACCAUACAACGAUUUUAACAUAACCGAACCCAAACAAACCCAUGUAUACAUUAUAUUGAGAGACCUACAUAAGCAGCAAGUCACUUUAAAAUUACAGUAAAUGACAUAAUGCGCAUGCCAAGCACAGAAGGAAGCACGUGAAAUUAUAAUAAAAAAAUGGCGUAGUUUCAAAUUAUUUGUGUUCCCUUUGGCCUUCGGUUCACCUUACUCGAAAUUAGAUCAAAUCGGGAGCUAUUCCCAUCGCUCAUUUCAUACACCGGGGAACACCGCCACUCCGACGCCGGUCUGCCUAACCACACCGCUCCUACGAACUCUGUCGUCGGAAAAGAGACACUCAUUUCGCCUUGGAGAAGAUUCUAUUGGUAGUAAGACUCGAUAAUUUCUCGUUGCACUUAUUAUUACUGAUAUUACUAUUGUUUUGAUAAAUACAGCAAUUAGGCAUGGAAAUUGAAAAUGGGUUUUUUCUUUUUUAUAAUACAUUAAGCCUUCAUAAUUUCUGUUAACUGUUUUGUGAAGUAUAUAUUUGAUGUAUUUUGGUGUGGUUUUUCACUUUUAAAUAAGCUUACAAACAUGUGUUAUUAUUUUAUAUGCAUGUUGUGGUAUUCGUGAUUGGUCUGAUUGCUUGUGGGAACCAAUUGUGGCUGCAAUGUGCUAGAUAAGCAUGAAUCUGCUUUGAUCAAAUAGGUAGGAUUUGGUCGUCUGUGUGGGCGCCCAACUAAUCAGAGAAGAAAACGACCAAUUGACAGAUAAAAAGAUGCCAAAGUUCACUCUCGAUAAUUCCUUCCGUUUUUGCAACCAAGAAGGGACCAUAUCUUACUUUCACUCUAAAUCUAUUGAGACGCUACAACAAAAGUUGAUUCAGAUUGGUUUCGGCAGUUUGCACGCGAAGAGCAUAUCCAGGCCGAUCUGAUUGGAUGGAAGAAGAUGUUGGUUAAGAUUAAUGAGGUGCUAGGUGAUGCAGUGGAGAAGCAGACAACGAAUCAGUCAGUUAAGACGUGGCUUGCAAACUUCAGAACUUGGCUUGUGAUGUUGAAUAUUCGUUGGAUGAGUUUCGGAUGGAAAGUUUCCAGAGGAAGUUGAUGCUAGAUGAUGAUGCUGUGGAUGAGUCUGAUUCCAUAGCAAUGUCCAAAAUAAAGGAGGUCAAUGCUAGAUUGCAAGAUUUUGCAUCGCAGAUAGACCCACUAGGUUUGAAAGAAAGUUCAGGUGGCAAGUACAGAAAUGUCCGGCUAAGAUUUACCCACAAUCCCUUUGGUGAGUGAAGCCAAUGUAUCGGCAAUGAUAUUCAAAUGGAAGCCUGUGAUUGAGCUGACAGAAAGAGUGGUAAACUGGUGUCGGUUUUUUCCCUUAAUUGAAAAAUAAGGUAAACCGGGAUCAGUUUAGUUCACUGUUUAUGUCAUCACUCUGUCAGUGCUCUGACAAAUUGCUAAUGCUAAUUCCAUAUUUCCAUGUGUGUUUGUUCUUUCUUUCUUUUUUUUUAUCCAAAGCUAUUCUUGGCAGCAGUAAGACGUGUGGGCAGAGAUCCUGGCCCUGCAAUCUUUAGUCCAUUAAUUAAGAAAGCUAAGGAUUUGGCUUUCUUGGAAAAAAAAAGGUGGUCUUGCUUCUUUGGAGAAAAUAGGAUCUGGUGGGUGUGGAGAAGUUUACAAAGCUGAACUACCAGGACAAAAUGGAAGGAUGAUUUCUAUUAAGAAAAUUGUGGGGCCUUCAAUGGAUGCUGCAGCAUUGAUUGAAGAAGAUAGUAUGCUGUUGAACAAGAAAAUGAGGCAAAUUCAGUCUGAGAUGCUGUUGAACAAGAAAAUGAGGCAAAUUCAGUCUGAGAUUAAUACUGUGGGUCAAAUUAGGCACAGAAAUCUUCAUCCUUUGCUGGCUCAUGUGACCAGGCCCGACUGCCAUUUACUUGUGUACGAAUUCAUGAAGAAUUGAAGUUUACAAGACAUUCUCAACGAUGUCUCACAAGGGAGACGAGAAUUAGAUUGGCUAGCUAGACACAGAAUUGCACUUGGACUGGCUUGUGGGCUUGAGUAUCUGCAUAUGCACCAUUGCCCUCGUAUAAUCCAUAGAGAUCUAAACCCAGUGAACGUGCUUCUAGAUGAUGAUAUGGAAGCCAGGAUUUCUGGUUUUGGUUUUGCAAGAGCAAUUCCUGAUGCUCAUACACAUAUCACAACUUCGAAUGUGGUGGGAACGGUGGAAUACAUAGCCCCAGAGUAUUUGCAGAUGCUAACACGUACUGAAAAGUGUGAUAUAUACUUUGGGGUGUUGCUAGCUGGUCUGGUGAUGGGAAAACUUCCGUCCGAUAAAUUCUUCCAACAUACAAACGAGAUGAGUUUUGUUAAAUGGAUGAGAAACGUCAUGGCCUCUGAGAAUCCUAAGCGGGCUAUCGAUUCAAAGCUCGUGGGCAAUGGUUGUGAGGAGCAAAUGCUUCUUGUUUUAAAGAUUGCUUGCUUUUGCACUUUGGAAGACCCAAAUGAAAGACCUAACAGCAAGGAUGUUAGGCGCAUGUUGUCGCAGAUCCAGCACUGAUGACCUUAUGUGGGUAGUUUUAAAUGUACAAGAAUAACACCACUACCUAUCAUGAACAAUGUAUGCUUGCAAAUUAAGUUGUAUAACAAUGAUCCUUCUGUGUUUUUUCUUCGAAUAAUCUAUAAUGUGGUUAACAGUGUUGUAAUUUCACAAACUAGAAACUAUUUCUUAGGGCUAGUUGUCCCACUCCCUUAACUGUUCCCACUAAGAAUAUUAUUUAUAAGAAUGGUUCUUUCAUAUGGUUACAAAUAUGCUAAAGUCCAACUUUUGGUGGCAGAAUUGGUAUCUGACUGCUUGAAAUGUUGCACAGAGGAUUCUGAUGAUUCCAUGGGCAAGGUGCACAUCAUUCAGAAGCGAUGAUAAGCAUAUUUUCUUAUCAGAAAUUCAUUGAAAUCUUUAUAACUCUGUUGUUGACUUGUUUUUAAGUCUUUUAUUUCUUUCUGGUGUUUCAGUGAUCCUUCCAUUUUCUUGAAAAUUACCCUUUAAGAUAGAUGCAAGGUAAAUUCAAAUAGAGAUUUCUGUAUUUGCUAAAGGGGAAUUCUGUAGACAUCCCUCUUGUUUGCUUCUCUGCUCUCCUUUAUCUUUAAUAAACAGACAAAGUAUUUCUUUGAUGAGGACAGGCAUCGAACUUUAUAGCUCUGACUGCUGGAAGUAAAUAUAUAGGUUUCUAAAUGCGAAGAAAUGGUUAACUUCCUUUGACAAUGACAUUUUUGUACAUUAAUUACCUCAUGUGAUAAACUCUUGUGCUUGUUAGACCUUCUCCUUGCUGACUUCUUGAUAUGAAGGCACGUGUUCGCCACCUCUAUCUACAACUUUUUAUAUUUGUCACCAUGGGAAAUAUGUAUGCGACAGGAGAUCUUUACAUGUUUGUUAAAUAUUUAACAAGAAUAAUUGUCCAUUAUCUAUAAUAUGUGAAAUAAAAAGUCUUGAGAAUUCACCAUGAUACAAUUCGGAUUCUUGUUUUUAUGAUAGAAAGUAUAUGAGAAUUUGGUCUUUUACUAGAUUGUCUAGGUAGCCUUGGCCUUCAAGCUCCUCUUCUAAAUGUUUUGUGGAGAGGAUCCUUGAUUCCUCCUAUUGCACCAGUUCUCAUGUGGUCCACCUGUCAUCUUUGUGUGGUCAUAAAUCUUUUUUUGUCUUUUGUGUGUGUGUGUGUGUGUCUCUUCUUCUUUCUUGGGUAAAGUAACUAGUGGUCUUGGAAAGUCAAACAACUUGUCAUGUAUCUUAUGAUUUUGAAAAAAGAAUAUUCAUUUCAAGAUUUUGUCUUUCUCUGUUUGGUCUCAGUGUACAGUUUAUGUUUCUUCUGAGAAAAUAGAAUGAUGUAUAAUAAUCUGGUGAAAUUGCCAAUUAGGUGAUUACUUAUUCAGGUGCAAUACUGGAGGCGUGCAUGAGGAAAUUGGUUUUCUAUCAUGAAAUUGUUGGUUUCAUUGAAGAAGAGAAGGAUAAGUUUCCUACAGUUAAGAGUUCAAUAUUUUUCAAUUCUCCGCCUCAGUUGGUCGUGCUUGCUCAGGAGGGGCAACACAAGGAAACCAUAAGGUGAGCUGCUUUUGUGAAUAUUAACUACUGAUAUUACACACCUUUAAAAAAUUUCCAGGUGGAUAAUUAGGAAACUGAGCCUAGAGUUAUGCUAGAUGUCACUCAUGAUAAUUAAGUGAGACUGCUGAAAUUUUUAGGCUUACAUGUUAUCAUUGGUUGCUGCCUUGUACCUCCAUAUUUCACCUCUAUUACAUUUUCCUCAGUGCAGAAGCAUUUAAAAGACUAUAUUUUCCCUCUGAGGUACUGUAAAGAAAUUUCACCUAGCCCAAGCAGCAUUAAAUGAGUAUGAUGUCCCCCUGUACGUGCUUUAGAUCUCACAUUGAUUCCACAGAGAUACCUGAAUUUCAUAGACCUUGUAACACAUGAGGUUGUGGCCUGAGGGUCUUAUAACUCAACGGUGGCAUUGUAAAUUUGAUAAGCCCUCUUUUCUGCUGUCAAUUGAAUUUGUGGUUCGUGAUUAGGUUUUCCUGACCACUUGAUAGCUUGCAUAUGCGUACCUUAUUUACUUUUAAUUGCUCAUUUCCUUUCCGGUAGACAGAUAGAGUAAUGAAGUCCUAAAAGAAAAUAUGAUUUAUUUAUUAUGACUCCUUUGCAGCAUUGACAAUUGGAAACGGGAACAUAUGCUGCAGUUUCUAGAAGAGAAGGUUAAGCCUACUUCAGCAAAGAUUUAGAGUGAUUUAUAACUGGCUUGCUUUAUAGAAAAACUGAAUUAUGUGCAACAACUAUGCUAUGAAAUCAGGCAUAACUCAUUACCUUUUUGUUCUUAGUUUGAGUAACAAAUCCAAGUGUAAUGAAUUACUAUCUGGCACACAUUUAAAGUGUUUUUGGACAUCUUCUGGAGAAUCUAUUUGCUUCAAGAUGAACUCUGCUACUCUGAUAUUAUCUGACUUUAGUGACAAGUUUUGAGAACUUUGUAGAUAUGCUUGGUGGACAAGAAUACGAGAUCAUAUAAUAUAAGCUUUGUGUUCAUCUUCUUAUGAAGUUUUGAUUGAUUAUUAUUGAAUAAUAAUGCAUACGUGGUACAAGAUUUUUGUGACUUUUCAUAUUUGGCUACACACGAACACGCAACAUAAAUUCUGACAACUUACAAAUUAAAAUCAGGGAGCCUACAAUGCGAUGAUGGAACAAAUUGCCUGUAUUAAGGUGAGUAAAAGGAGAAUAACGGCUGCAAUAACAGAGAUGGAUGCCCAUGGACUAUUGAAGUAAUCUUGUCUCAACAUUGCCUUCCACCUAUGCCAACGGUAUCUGCAAUAGGCCCUCAGAUCUUCAACAAGAUCAGUGUACUGGAAAUUUUUAGCAGACAACGAAGUUUCCUGGACAAGGUUGUGAAAAAGAUUCGACACAGCUUCACUGUUCCAUAGCCAGUUUUCGAUAACCCGGUUUUGAACAAGUAAGUCAACAUCGUGUGCUGUGUUGACGAGAUAAUUCAUGAUGAUAACAUAGUCGUUUAUAUACCUGGUACCACAAUGCAAUCUCUCAAAGGCUUGAAGGUUUCUGAAUAAAAUCUCUGUGGACUCACU